CGACGGCAAGNAAACCCCGGAAAAGGCGCCCCAGUUCGGAUUGGAGUCUGCAACCCGACUCCAUGAAGCUGGAUUCGCUAGUAAUCGCGCAUCAGCCACGGCGCGGUGAAUACGUUCCCGGGCCUUGUACACACCGCCCGUCAAGCCAUGGGAGCCGGGAGUGCCUGAAGUACGUGACCGCAAGGAGCGUCCUAGGGUAAGACCGGUGACUGGGGCUAAGUCGUAACAAGGUAAC
This 235-nucleotide ribosomal RNA is filed under the name uncultured bacterium. RNAcentral's name for it is "partial 16S ribosomal RNA". It matches the Rfam family "Bacterial small subunit ribosomal RNA", at positions 1258 to 1500 of the family's 1533-position model. The record is from RNAcentral.